RNAcentral lists this ribosomal RNA (482 nucleotides) under uncultured bacterium. RNAcentral's name for it is "bacterial SSU rRNA". It matches the Rfam family "Bacterial small subunit ribosomal RNA", at positions 28 to 507 of the family's 1533-position model. The record is from RNAcentral.
GACGAACGCUGGCGGCGUGCUUAACACAUGCAAGUCGAACGAUGAAGCCCUUCGGGGUGGAUUAGUGGCGAACGGGUGAGUAACACGUGGGCAAUCUGCCCUUCACUCUGGGACAAGCCCUGGAAACGGGGUCUAAUACCGGAUAACACUCUCGUGGGCAUCUGUGAGGGUUAAAAGCUCCGGCGGUGAAGGAUGAGCCCGCGGCCUAUCAGCUUGUUGGUGAGGCAGUGGCNCACCAAGGCGACGACGGGUAGCCGGCCUGAGAGGGCGACCGGCCACACUGGGACUGAGACACGGCCCAGACUCCUACGGGAGGCAGCAGUGGGGAAUAUUGGACAAUGGGCGCAAGCCUGAUCCAGCGAUGCCGCGUGUGUGAAGAAGGCCUGCGGGUUGUAAAGCACUUUCAGUAGGGAAGAAAAGCCGAGUGCUAAUAUCACUCGGUCUUGACGUUACUUACAGAAGAAGCACCGGCUAACUCCGUG